AUGCACUCCAUGGAUUUGGCACGAAGCAUACGGUUAGAUUUGUCUGUUGCAUUCACUAAUAUAGCCUUCAGGUACGGCAUCACCGCAUCAUAGUAUUUUUGGAAGUGCUCCUGGGAUGAGUCAGCAACUGAGGCCAAGGCAGUCAAGGCUCCCUCUUGCACCAUUUGUUUCCCAUUCUGUAAUAGUACAAGCAAUUUGCUCACUAUUCCAUCUAAGUAAGGAGCUAAAAUCUCUGGAGUACAGUUCUCACUAAAGUUGAGCACCGCUGAAGCAGCAUGUGCCUGCACCCGAGGAUUGGGGAAAUCAUCCAUUGCACUAGCAAGUGC
This 326-nucleotide unclassified non-coding RNA is filed under the name Hevea brasiliensis (rubber tree). Lineage: Eukaryota; Viridiplantae; Streptophyta; Magnoliopsida; Malpighiales; Euphorbiaceae. The record is from RNAcentral.